ACACGUAGGAGGCGAACGGUUAUCCGGAUUUACUGGGCGUAAAGCGCGUGUAGGUGGUUCUGUAAGUAGGGCGUGAAAGCUCCUGGCUCAACUGGGAGAGGCCGUUCUAAACUACAGAACUAGAGGAUGGUAGAGGGAGGUGGAAUUCCAGGUGUAGCGGUGGAAUGCGCAGAUAUCUGGAGGAACACCAGUGGCGAAGGCGGCCUCCUGGACCAUUCCUGACACUCAGACGCGAAAGCUAGGGUAGC
RNAcentral lists this ribosomal RNA (248 nucleotides) under uncultured bacterium. Its description in RNAcentral is "partial 16S ribosomal RNA". It matches the Rfam family "Bacterial small subunit ribosomal RNA", at positions 523 to 769 of the family's 1533-position model. The record is from RNAcentral.